Molecule: ribosomal RNA, 559 nt
Filed under: uncultured bacterium
Lineage: Bacteria
Description: bacterial SSU rRNA
Rfam family: Bacterial small subunit ribosomal RNA
Source: RNAcentral
CGGAACGUGCCUGAUCGUGGGGGAUAACGGAGCGAAAGCUUUGCUAAUACCGCAUACGAUCUGCGGAUGAAAGCAGGGGACCGCAAGGCCUUGCGCGGACGGAGCGGCCGAUGGCAGAUUAGGUAGUUGGUGGGAUAAAAGCUUACCAAGCCGACGAUCUGUAGCUGGUCUGAGAGGACGACCAGCCACACUGGGACUGAGACACGGCCCAGACUCCUACGGGAGGCAGCAGUGGGGAAUUUUGGACAAUGGGCGAAAGCCUGAUCCAGCCAUGCCGCGUGCAGGAUGAAGGCCUUCGGGUUGUAAACUGCUUUUGUACGGAACGAAAAGCCUCUUUCUAAUAAAGAGAGGUCAUGACGGUACCGUAAGAAUAAGCACCGGCUAACUACGUGCCAGCAGCCGCGGUAAUACGUAGGGUGCAAGCGUUAAUCGGAAUUACUGGGCGUAAAGCGUGCGCAGGCGGUGAUGUAAGACAGAUGUGAAAUCCCCGGGCUCAACCUGGGAACUGCAUUUGUGACUGCAUCGCUGGAGUGCGGCAGAGGGGGAUGGAAUUCCGCGU